GUCCUGUUGAAACAGUUCUUCUUGCAAAUGUGGUGUUGCAGAUUUCCAGUGUGCGGAUCUCCAUGAGCACGUUUGCACGUGGUAUUUCAAGGUUUUCCCGUUGAUGGCCUCCAGCUUCCAGAUUCACUGCUUGGAAAAGGGAGGCUACCAAGAGCUUUCAAGCAUUUGCACUUUGGUAUUCUUGCUACUUUCCUUUCCAUGUUACUUUAAUCUUUUGUUUGUGUUCANNNNNNNNNNNNNNNNNNNNNNNNNNNUCUGCGCUUUGGCCAGUUCUGCAGAACCUCUAUUUCUUGAGGUUAUUCUGUGGGGAUUUUUCUCUGUUCCUCUUUCCUAGCUGUUCAUAUUAGUUCUUCAUCAGUAGUGUUCUCCUUUAACUCAAACAAAUUGCACUGGUUUACUAAAACUAUUCGUAAGCAGGUGCAGUCCUCUUCUGCAAGAACGCCUUUAUUUUGAUUGGAGUGGUUUAGCUUGAGGCAAUCGGAGGCAGUUUUAAACUCAGCUUUGCAUUGAACCUGUGGGAAGCCUGUUUGAGUUUAAAAACAGUUUGAGGUGAAUUAGUGGAACUUCUUAUGUGGGCAUAUCUUCUAUGACAGUGGGCGCAAUUCCACUGGGGAAGAUGGUGUUACAGCAGCAGGUUGCUUCCAUCAAGUCUCUCCACAGCUUGAGCGUUUUUUCAAAGCAUAAGGUGAAGACUUUCCUGCAGUAGGUUCUUUUGCUAGUGCUGCAGAAGUAAUUCAAAUGGCUGCAAAGACAGUUGCCCCCUUUCAGACUAGCUGCAAGCAGACCAAGUUGGAGAGACAGUACAGGCUUGUAGGAGAAGUGCUUUUCCGCACAUGGCGUUGUAUUUUGACUGAUGAAAGCAAGAGGGGAGCACUAGCUGCGUGGAAGCUCAUCAGGGCCAGAGUUGUCGCUCUCACCAGUGUCGGCUGUGGAAGUGAUUGCUGUGUUCCCCGGGCCAAAGCCCUGGGGAAGAGCCAAGCUGGGCCUCCGGGCGCGUGAACCCCACCUUUCCUAGUCCCCGGUCUGCGUGGGGAAGGGAAGACUUCUAAACAAACCUUGGCAACGCCGGGAAGGUGAGUUUGGCUCUGCAAAGGCGUUGGUGCGUUUGCAGUACUCCAGUCACGGGUAAGUUAGUUCUCUCCUGCCACGAGCUCCUGAUGUUGCCUCAGGUAGGAUCCCUUUUGUUCGUAUUCGAGUGUUUUGCAUUGACAUAUUUCACUGAAGAACCUGGGGAAUCUGUCCUCCUGCGGGGACGUGAACUGAGAUGCUUCCCUCCCAACAUUGCUGUGUGAUCUCAGACGGUAGCUCUUAAGCUAAAGGAAAAUUGUCAUUAAUUGUUGGUAGUGCUAGUGCUGCCACAGCACUAAUUAUAAUUGAGAAGGCACUUCUGUUACAAGCCUGUGCUUCAAGCUGUUUAUUGCUACAUUAAAAAAGUGGUAGUGAAGUGUAACAUGUGAUCUUGGGUGUCAGCUGUGUUUUGGGGACAAGUUUUGCAAACUUCAGCUUGUCUGUUGGUUUUCCUCUCCCUGCUCCAACUUCUACCCAGAUACAGCAGAGCCCCAAAACCCCUCACUUGAGAUGAUGUUAUGGUUGCACCAAGAUCUCUGAAAGAGUUUCUCCUAAAAUAUUCAGGCUUAGUCACCAGUGUGAG
Molecule: long non-coding RNA, 1651 nt
Filed under: Struthio camelus australis
Lineage: Eukaryota; Metazoa; Chordata; Aves; Struthioniformes; Struthionidae
Description: lncRNA (ENSSCUG00000001864.1)
Source: RNAcentral